GAAAGACUGGGCGUAAAGCGCACGUAGGCGGCGCAGCAAGUCAGGGGUGAAAUCCCGGGGCUCAACCCCGGAACUGCCCUUGAAACUGCAGUGCUAGAAUCUUGGAGAGGUCAGUGGAAUUCCGAGUGUAGAGGUGAAAUUCGUAGAUAUUCGGAAGAACACCAGUGGCGAAGGCGACUGACUGGACAAGUAUUGACGCUGAGGUGCGAAAGCGUGGGGAGCAAACAGG
Molecule: ribosomal RNA, 229 nt
Filed under: uncultured bacterium
Lineage: Bacteria
Description: partial 16S ribosomal RNA
Rfam family: Bacterial small subunit ribosomal RNA
Source: RNAcentral